UGGGGAAUAUUGGACAAUGGGCGCAAGCCUGAUCCAGCCAUGCCGCGUGAGUGAUGAAGGCCUUAGGGUUGUAAAGCUCUUUCGGCGGGGACGAUAAUGACGGUACCCGCAGAAGAAGCCCCGGCUAACUUCGUGCCAGCAGCCGCGGUAAUACGAAGGGGGCUAGCGUUGCUCGGAAUCACUGGGCGUAAAGGGCGCGUAGGCGGACAUUUAAGUCGGGGGUGAAAGCCCAGGGCUCAACCCUGGAAUUGCCUCCGAUACUGGGUGUCUCGAGACCGGAAGAGGUGAGUGGAACUGCGAGUGUAGAGGUGAAAUUCGUAGAUAUUCGCAAGAACACCAGUGGCGAAGGCGGCUCACUGGUCCGGUUCUGACGCUGAGGCGCGAAAAGCGUGGGGAGCAAACAGGAUUAGAUACUCUGGUAGUCCACGCCGUAAACGAUGGAUGCUAGCCGUUGGCAGGCUUGCCUGUCAGUGGCGCAGCUAACGCUUUAAGCAUCCCGCCUGGGGGAGUACGGCCGCAAGGUUAAAACUUAAAGG
Molecule: ribosomal RNA, 536 nt
Filed under: uncultured bacterium
Lineage: Bacteria
Description: partial 16S ribosomal RNA
Rfam family: Bacterial small subunit ribosomal RNA
Source: RNAcentral